CCCUUAGAUGUUCUGGGCCGCACGCGCGCUACAAUGGUCUUCGCAAAAGGAUGCAUUCUCGAAGGAGAAUGCCAAUCUUGGAAUCUAUGCCUUGGUCGGGACAGUUGCUUGCAAUUUUUCGACUCGAACCAGGAAUUCCUUGUAAUCGUGAUUCAUCACAUCACGAUGAAUACGUCCCUGCCCUUUGUACACACCGCCCGUCGCUCCUACCGAUCGAAGAGUUAGGUGAAUUGUUUUGAUCGAUAAGAUUUGACUAUGGUCAACUCUCGUUGUGAAAUUCUGUGAAUCUGACUGUUUAGAGGAAGGAAAAGUCGUAACA
RNAcentral lists this ribosomal RNA (319 nucleotides) under uncultured eukaryote. RNAcentral describes it as "partial 18S ribosomal RNA". It matches the Rfam family "Eukaryotic small subunit ribosomal RNA", at positions 1470 to 1796 of the family's 1831-position model. The record is from RNAcentral.